UACGUAGGGUGCAAGCGUUGUCCGGAAUUAUUGGGCGUAAAGGGCUCGUAGGCGGUCCAUCACGUCGGGAGUGAAAAGCUGGGGCUUAACCCCAGUCCUGCUUCCGAUACGGGUGGACUAGAGGUAGGCAGGGGAGAACGGAAUUCCUGGUGUAGCGGUGAAAUGCGCAGAUAUCGCUUGGAACGCCGGCGGCGAAAGCGGUCUGCUGGGGGUGUACCGACGCUGAGACACGAAAGCCAGGGGAGCGAACGGG
RNAcentral lists this ribosomal RNA (253 nucleotides) under uncultured bacterium. RNAcentral's name for it is "partial 16S ribosomal RNA". It matches the Rfam family "Bacterial small subunit ribosomal RNA", at positions 524 to 776 of the family's 1533-position model. The record is from RNAcentral.